CUGAACAGCAAAAAAAUGCUCUUAUAUCUAACCUAAAGUCUGUAUGAAGUUGAAACCUUUCUCCCUUUCCUGCCUCAGGGGGAAAAAAUGUGACCAGCACCUGCUGUGAAUGUUAAUAUGUCUUAAAAUUACUGUUAAACCCAGUCUUUCAUACAAGAAAUUCUCAAGAAUUCUGGAUAUAGCCUGGAGUAAGAUCAGGGUAUACAAAGAAAUUAUAACUUCUUCAUCUUUUCCUUCUUGAGGAUGACUAAUUCCAGUUAUAGUUGAAUCUUGAACAUUGCAGGGGGUAGUGGGAAGGGGUUAGGGUCUGACACCCACUCCAACACAGUCAAAAAUCUGAGUACAACUUUUGACUCCCCCAAAACUUAACUACUGAUAGUCUGCUAUUGACUGAAGGCCUUACCAAUAACAUAAAGUCAAUUUACACUUAUUUUGUGUUGUAUAUAUUAGACACUGUAUUCUUACAAGUCAGCUAAAGAAAAAAUUUUUUCAUAUUGUUGCAAAUCUCCAAAAACUUAUCCGAUAUAUUUAUUAAAAAAAAGUGGACCUGUGCAGUUCCAACCCAUGUUGUUCAAGGGUCAACUAUACUUUAACCUCUUUAUCAGACUGUAUUUUUCCUUGAGUAUGACAGCAAAUCAAGCUAACUAAGGUAAGGGUCUUGAGAAGUUAAAAAAGGCAAGAGGAUAAUUUCACUUGCUUUGACAGAUGGUCAAAAAUUAAAUGAGCACGACAACUUGAAGCACAACCCAGCAACUGUCACCUAGCCUCUUCCUGCUCCCUGCUGUCCUCAAUCUUCCUUCACAGCUCUUCUCACUGGUUUGCCACACAGGUCAGAUAAGAGGCUCAAUUUAUCAGACAUAGGGAAACAUGGCUCUUGGAAUCCACCUUAUUUAACUAAAAUGACCUACGUAAUUGUGUGGUCUUUAGUGAAUUUCACAUGGCUGUAACUUGUGCACAUUUGUCCACAAUCACUAAGCAAAUAGCAUAGUUAUGGCAUAUGUCACUGGAAAUGCUUCACAAUUGUUCCUAUGAUAGGGUAAAAAAAAAUCCUUUGUGUGUGUGCGUGUGUGUAAAGAUAAGUAUGAAAUAAAGACUUUUUAAUGAAAAUAAUAAUGAUAACAAAAUAAAAUGACCUACAUAUUAAGGCCAGACCUGGCCAGGUGAAUGCUGAAGGGGUCAACUGGAAAAAAAGAAAAAUGCCUAUUGCUACCACUUCUGACUGUGGUAAACAGUUCAAAACUAAGUAUAAAUACACUUUAAAAAGAAGUGAUUAUACUGCAAAGAAGUAAAAAGCUAACCUUUUCAAACAAUAUUGCUUCUCUCUCACUUACCAACUUUACAUUUCCCUGUAUGGCCCUGGAAGAUGACUGGUUAGCCAGAGACGGGUAAGAUUCCUCAAGGGAGGAACAACCUAAGACAGGCACAGUCGCAGGGGGGCCAUCAGGUGAGAAAUUGGGGAUCAACAGAGGUGAAGCUUAGAACCUCACCCCCCCUGUUCUGAGAGAAAUCUUCUGCAUCCGUGGAUGUUUUGUUGCCCUUGUCUAGCUCGGAUUAAUACUUAGUCUACAGGCACACACCUGAUCAUCUACAUUUGCCCUCUUACAGCACUAAACUAUGUUUUCUACCUUUAUCUUGCAUCUACCUACCACUUCAGCAUUUUAUUUAAAAAAUAAAUUAAUAAUAAUAAUAAUAAUAAUAAUAAUAAUAAUAAGGGAGAAAUGUGGGAUUCGCAUAUAAAUCAAGUAUAAAAAUCAAAUGAAUAUUCAUAUUUGACCUGAUUGUUUAUAGUUCAUAAUGCGUGAUCAAAACCGAAAGUUUCUGUGAUGACUGCCCUUGCACUGUUCACCAUGUAAGAACUUAUUCACUAUGUAAGAAUUUGUUCACCAUGUAAGAACUUGUUCAUUAUGCUUCAGAAGAUUGGAGACUGUUGAGAAUUAGGCUUGGGGUUGAUUAAUGAUUGUGCAUUGAGUCCCCUAUACAGAAUUUUAUUGUUGUUAACAACCAUUUGAUCAAUAAAUAUGAGAGAUGCCCUCUCAAAAAAAAAGAAGUGAUUAUAAGGUUUACCAGUGUGGUAGGUAAAAAAAACAGAAAGUCAGACCUAGGAAGGAUACAGAAAAGGAAAGGACUAACUACAAUGGUCAAAAAAACAGGCUUCAAAGAACUACAAAAAUUAAGUUUCCCUUUCCCUGGUUAUUGUGCACAUGUGACUAGCUAGUGUUGGCCCAAAUCACUAGCAGAAUAUUAUUCCAAGUAGCUUAUUAUGCACCCCACUCAUCCCAUUUAUAGCCAGGGCACACUUUAGGAAGGAUGAGCUCCAGCAUCUAUCUAGAAGCAUUACUAGACCAUAAGAUACCUAUUUCCAUAAACACCCAAGACUACCCUGCUGCUAUUCAUUUCAAUUGUUUGACUUGGAUUGGUUAGGUGAGGAGAUAGAGCAGAAUUCGCAGAUUCACCAGAAUCUGACAGGGGCCGCAACGUGAAUGUUUCUGCUGUGGACCUGUUAUCCUCUACGAUCCCUGAAUUUAAAAACUGAGCAGCAGAACACAGCUGCUUUUAUGCAAAUAGUGCUUUGUCAAUGAAAGCAAUAAAGCAACAACUGUGCCAGUUCAGGCCACAGCUUUCCAGGGUUCUGCCCCUUUCAGACACCAACACAUGAUGCUGUGCCCAGUGGACACAAUUAAGAGCUAUGAACUGUAGCUUUUUACUGUCACUCCUUGGCCACCGCUGGAGAGAUCACCAACGUGCAUGUGUGUUUACUUUUAUGCAGGGAACCUGGUUGAUUAUGUGACCGCUCUGGCAAAAGCACUUUGACAACUGUAAGAAGAGAGGGCAUGCGCACACAAGGAACUGUGGGGGCUGAAGUCCUUCACAAGUAAGCAGAAUUGAAAGGUGGCUCUCCAAGAUUCCAGGCUAGAAGGAAACAGGAACCAUAACUGCAAUCCUGCCAACCACAAGAACAAGCUUGAAAGCAGAUCUGACACCCUAACCAGAGAAACCAGUCAUGUUGCAUCAGACUUCUGACCUACAGAAUUGAUAAUAAAUGAGUGUUGUUUUAAGUCAUUAAACUUCUGGUAAAUUUGUUGCACAGGAGUAGAAAACUAAUACAACAUUAUUCCAUUUUCUUUGAAAACACUGCUUUCCUGGCUUUUCACUUCUAAAGUUUCUUCUCAGUCUCCUGACCACUCCUCCUCAGUCAGCUUUCCCCAGGGUUCUCCUAAUAUUCCACUGUCCCUGGGCAAUGUUAUGUUCAUGAAUAGGGAAGUUCACCACUAUCUAGGUUUUCAGAUAAAAAAUCUUGUUGCUAGGUUCCAAGCCACUAUUUAACUAACACUUCUCUGAGGAUCUUACAGCACCUCUUCUCCCACGAAAGUGCUUCUGUCUUUAUUCCUAGUUAACUUACCUUUAUCCUACUUAACAGCACCACCAUCCAUGUAGUGACUCAACUUAGGAAUCUGAACAUGACUUCAUCCUUUCCCUUCUCCAUCACUAAAGGACAAAUCCAGCCAGUCACUAAAACUUGUUAAUUCCACCUCCUAAAUUUCUGCUUGACAUCCCCUCUUCUUCAUUCAUAGCCACUAUAGUAUUUCACCUGAACUAUGGUAGUAAUAUCCUAAUGUCUCUCCAUUAAGUACCUUUCCAAAUAUGGCCUCCUCAGUUAUUCUGUUUUACUGUUUUAUGCCUCUCCCUAAAACUCUAUAAUUACUUUUCCCUUGUCGAGGAUAAAAUGCAAACUUAACUCAUCUACUCUUCUUUCUGGCCACACCAAACAAUGACAGGCCCUUGAAUGCACAUACUCUUCUACUGUAAUGCUUCUGCACCUUCUCCUUUUGCCUAAGAUACCUGUCUACCUCUGCUCACCUGCUCCUACUCACCCAUUAGAGCUCAUUUCAAAUGUCACCUCCUUAAGAUUCCUCAAGGGAGGA
This is a long non-coding RNA of Manis pentadactyla (Chinese pangolin), 3923 nucleotides long. RefSeq lists it as uncharacterized. NCBI's taxonomy places the organism in Eukaryota, Metazoa, Chordata, Mammalia, Pholidota, Manidae. The record is from RefSeq and is a predicted model, not a curated record. The transcript has 3 exons.